Molecule: ribosomal RNA, 382 nt
Filed under: Elphidium margaritaceum
Lineage: Eukaryota; Foraminifera; Rotaliida; Elphidiidae
Description: SSU rRNA
Rfam family: Bacterial small subunit ribosomal RNA
Source: RNAcentral
AGUGUUAUCCGGAAUCACUGGGCGUAAAGCGUCUGUAGGUGGUUUAGUAAGUCAACUGUUAAAUCUUGAAGCUCAACUUCAAAAUCGCAGUCGAAACUAUUAGACUAGAGUAUAGUAGGGGUAAAGGGAAUUUCCAGUGGAGCGGUGAAAUGCGUAGAGAUUGGAAAGAACACCGAUGGCGAAGGCACUUUACUGGGCUAUUACUGACACUCAGAGACGAAAGCUAGGGUAGCAAAUGGGAUUAGAUACCCCAGUAGUCUUAGCUGUAAACAAUGGAUACUAGAUGUUGGGCAGAUCGACCUGUUCAGUAUUAAAGCUAACGCGUUAAGUAUCCCGCCUGGGAAGUAUGCGCGCAAGCGUGAAACUCAAAGGAAUUGACGGG